This 1091-nucleotide long non-coding RNA is filed under the name Macaca mulatta (Rhesus monkey). Its description in RNAcentral is "lncRNA (ENSMMUG00000060228.1)". Lineage: Eukaryota; Metazoa; Chordata; Mammalia; Primates; Cercopithecidae. The record is from RNAcentral.
GGAGCAAAGAAGGAUAUGGGAGUGUGGGUAGGGCAAGUAGGGAGACUAAAUAAGAACUGAGGUAGAAAGUUCCUUGCAGGUGGGUGGGAAAGGGGUGGAGCUGACACCAUUGCUACAGGAGCUGAAUAAUAGCCUUGUGGAAAUAAAUGCCUGGUGAAGGCAUGCAGAAAGCAGUCUGGAGCUCAGAAGAGACACACCAGCACAGUCUGGUAGUCUACAGUAUCAAGUCUCUAGAGAAAGGCUGAAACACCCAGAACAAGAGAGACCAGGUCCAGGAUGCCCAGUCUGUUCUGGUCCCAUCUGCCAGCAAUCUGGCUGCUGCUGAGCCAACUCCUUAGAGAAAGCCUAGCAGCAGAGAUGAAGGGAUGUGGUCACCAGUUCGGAAACAGCUUGCUGUCAUUUUGUGACAAGACCAAAAAGAAAAUCUCUAACACCCAGAAGAAUGGCUGCUGGAAUCUGAACUACCCACAGAAAUGAUGUCAUCCUCAAUCAAUAAAGAUACAAAAACCUUAGAUAUGCCGUCAAAAUUAAUUCCCAAUUUGUCACAGGAGCUGAAGAAAACAGUGUCUCAAGGGCAACCAUCAUUGAGGAAAGUAGUACUUUCCCGAAAAAAAGAGAUGUAAAGACCUGAAUUCGAUCCAUUAUGCUGUGAAGUAGUUUGUGACAAUGGAACUUCAGUUAAAGUGUCUGAAUAGUGGAGUAAUUGUGGACAUCUACCCAUUCUCAAGUUUAUUCUCAGUGACAAAUUCACUAAUGUCCAAUUCAAUGACUGCUGAUUAUUAGGAUGUGAGAAAUAAUUAUUAGUAUAUACAUGUUUCACUUGCUCUGUGAUAAUACAGUCUCUCUAAAGGGAGGAAGUUAGACAGAUGGAAUAAGUUUUAGUACUUGAUAAUACAGUGGGGAAAUUAUACUUUACAAUACUUUAUUGUGUAUUUCAAAAUAGCUAGAAGAGAAUUGUAAUGAUCCCAGCACAAAGAAAAAAUGAAUGUUAGAGGUGAUGGAUAUCCCAAUUAUCCUGAUUUGAUCAUUACACAUCAUAUGCAUGUAUUGAAAUAUCACAUGUACUACAAAAAUGCGUACAACUAUAAUAU